RNAcentral lists this ribosomal RNA (425 nucleotides) under uncultured bacterium. Its description in RNAcentral is "bacterial SSU rRNA". It matches the Rfam family "Bacterial small subunit ribosomal RNA", at positions 9 to 424 of the family's 1533-position model. The record is from RNAcentral.
GAGUUUGAUCGUGGCUCAGGAUGAACGCUAGCUACAGGCUUAACACAUGCAAGUCGAGGGGCAGCAUUUUAGUUUGCUUGCAAACUAAAGAUGGCGACCGGCGCACGGGUGAGUAACACGUAUCCAACCUGCCGAUAACUCGGGGAUAGCCUUUCGAAAGAAAGAUUAAUAUCCGAUAGUAUAUUAAAACCGCAUGGUUUUACUAUUAAAGAAUUUCGGUUAUCGAUGGGGAUGCGUUCCAUUAGUUUGUUGGCGGGUAACGGCCCACCAAGACUACGAUGGAUAGGGGUUCUGAGAGGAAGGUCCCCCACAUUGGAACUGAGACACGGUCCAAACUCCUACGGGAGGCAGCAGUGAGGAAUAUUGGUCAAUGGACGAGAGUCUGAACCAGCCAAGUAGCGUGAAGGAUGACUGCCCUAUGGGUU